AAGGAGCACCAUUUUUUCCCCCGUCCCCGCAACCGUGCGGGAAGUGAUGGUUGGGAUAGGUUUGCCGGCGCCUGUAGUGGGUUGUCCGGUGGUGCAGAUAAUUUACGAACAGCAACAGCUUUGAUCACCAACCGCCGGGAGCGUUAUCGUUUCUGGUGGCCGGCCUUUGUGGGUUGGGCACACUGUUGGGUCCUGAGGCAACAGGCCUGUUGUUGCCCCYUGGUGGGGGUGGGUGUGUUGUCGCUCCAUCUUGGUGGUGGGGUGUGGUGUUUGUUUUGUGGAUAGUGGUUGCGAGCAUCUAACAGGCAAGGCUCCGUUGUGGGUUUUGUUUGUUUUGCAAUUUUUGUUUCUUGGUUUUUGUGU
Molecule: unclassified non-coding RNA, 363 nt
Filed under: Mycobacterium kumamotonense
Lineage: Bacteria; Bacillati; Actinomycetota; Actinomycetes; Mycobacteriales; Mycobacteriaceae
Description: Mycolicibacter kumamotonensis 16S-23S ribosomal RNA intergenic spacer
Source: RNAcentral